This 286-nucleotide unclassified non-coding RNA is filed under the name plant metagenome. Its description in RNAcentral is "partial contains small subunit ribosomal RNA, internal transcribed spacer 1, and 5.8S ribosomal RNA". The record is from RNAcentral.
UUUCCGUAGGUGAACCUGCGGAAGGAUCAUUAACCAGUAACGGGGGCGGACCUUGAAUGGUGACCAAUUGCGAUCCUCUGGCCGGAUAAGUAGCCAUGAUCGCCGGGCAAGUCGACUUGCCCGACCACUUCUCUCCGCCCUGUCUGAUACACCCAUGCUUUUUGCGUACCACUGUUUCCUCGGCAGGCUUGCCUGCCAGCAGGACCCUUUUAAACCCUUUGCAGUUGCAGUCAGCGUCAGAAAAACAUAAUAGUUACAACUUUCAACAACGGAUCUCUUGGUUCUG